AGUAUCUCUCUGUCACCCAGGCUAGAGUGCAGUGGCACGAUCUCGGCUCACGGCAACCUCCGCCUCCCGGGUUCAAGCGAUUCUCCUGCCUCAGCCUUCUGAGUGGCUGGGAUUACAUGCAUGUGCCACCAUGCCUGACUAAUUUUUGAUUUUUUUUUUUUUUUUUUUUUUUUUUAGAAGAGACAGGGUUUCACCGUGUUGGCUGGGCUGGUCUCAAAC
This 219-nucleotide long non-coding RNA is filed under the name Homo sapiens (human). Its description in RNAcentral is "HSALNT0369753". The record is from RNAcentral. Lineage: Eukaryota; Metazoa; Chordata; Mammalia; Primates; Hominidae.